UAAAAUCUCUGCAUAGAUCAUGUUACUUUUAUUGCAUUAAUUAAGACUCAGAAAGUUAUCCAGUUGAUUGAAUGUUUUCUUUAAUCCACCUACAGGAUUGCCAAGGAUCCAAGAUUUGAACGAUUACCAUGUACACACAAAGGAACCUAUGCAGAUGACUGCUUAGUACAGAGAGUAACUCAGCAUAAGUGUUACAUUGUGGCCACAGUUGACCGGGACCUUAAAAGAAGAAUCCGUAAGAUUCCUGGAGUUCCUAUCAUGUACAUUUCUAACCAUAGUCCUCAGACUUAUUUUCCAGCUUUUCAG
Molecule: long non-coding RNA, 306 nt
Filed under: Pan troglodytes (chimpanzee)
Lineage: Eukaryota; Metazoa; Chordata; Mammalia; Primates; Hominidae
Description: long non-coding RNA NONPTRT004845
Source: RNAcentral